This 247-nucleotide ribosomal RNA is filed under the name Escherichia coli. RNAcentral's name for it is "partial 23S ribosomal RNA". It matches the Rfam family "Bacterial large subunit ribosomal RNA", at positions 614 to 863 of the family's 2925-position model. The record is from RNAcentral. Lineage: Bacteria; Pseudomonadati; Pseudomonadota; Gammaproteobacteria; Enterobacterales; Enterobacteriaceae.
AAUGGGUCAGCGACUUAUAUUCUGUAGCAAGGUUAACCGAAUAGGGGAGCCGAAGGGAAACCGAGUCUUAACUGGGCGUUAAGUUGCAGGGUAUAGACCCGAAACCCGGUGAUCUAGCCAUGGGCAGGUUGAAGGUUGGGUAACACUAACUGGAGGACCGAACCGACUAAUGUUGAAAAAUUAGCGGAUGACUUGUGGCUGGGGGUGAAAGGCCAAUCAAACCGGGAGAUAGCUGGUUCUCCCCGAA